Molecule: ribosomal RNA, 465 nt
Filed under: uncultured bacterium
Lineage: Bacteria
Description: partial 16S ribosomal RNA
Rfam family: Bacterial small subunit ribosomal RNA
Source: RNAcentral
CUACGGGUUGCUGCAGUGAGGAAUUUUGCGCAAUGGGGGCAACCCUGACGCAGCAACGCCGCGUGAGUGAAGAAGGCCUUUGGGUCGUAAAACUCUGUCAAUGGGGAAGAAGUUACUAUGUUUAAAUAGAGUGUAGUAUUGACGGUACCCAUGAAGGAAGCACCGGCUAACUCCGUGCCAGCAGCCGCGGUAAUACGGGGGGUGCAAGCGUUAUUCGGAAUUAUUGGGCGUAAAGGGCACGCAGGCGGUCUUGCCAGUCAGAUGUGAAAGCCCGGGGCUCAACCCUGGAAGUGCAUUUGAAACUACAAGACUUGAGUACGGUAGAGGAAAGGGGAAUUCCUGGUGUAGAGGUGAAAUUCGUAGAUGUCAGGAGGAACACCGGUGGCGAAGGCGCCUUUCUGGACCGAAACUGACGCUGAGGUGCGAAGGCGUGGGUAGCGAACAGGAUUAGAUACCCCCGUAGUC